This 31-nucleotide non-coding RNA is filed under the name Rattus norvegicus (Norway rat). The record is from RNAcentral. Lineage: Eukaryota; Metazoa; Chordata; Mammalia; Rodentia; Muridae.
GUUACAGGUGAUCAAGCACUGAUGAUGUAGG